This 349-nucleotide unclassified non-coding RNA is filed under the name soil metagenome. Its description in RNAcentral is "partial contains 5.8S ribosomal RNA, internal transcribed spacer 2, and large subunit ribosomal RNA". The stretch from base 1 to 120 matches the Rfam family "5.8S ribosomal RNA", at positions 35 to 154 of the family's 154-position model. The record is from RNAcentral.
GAUGAAGAACGUAGCGAAAUGCGAUAAGUAAUGUGAAUUGCAGAAUUCAGUGAAUCAUCGAAUCUUUGAACGCACAUUGCGCCCGCGAGUAUUCUCGCGGGCAUGCCUGUCCGAGCGUCAUUUCAACCCUCAGGGCCCGCCUGCUUGCAGGCGCGGCGCUGGUGUUGGGGAUCGGCUACCCUGCCGUCCCCCAAAUACAGUGGCGGUCUCGCUGCAGCCUCCCCUGCGUAGUAGCAACACUCGCAUGCGGAGCGCGGCGCGGCCACGCCGUAAAACCCCCGACUUUCUGAACGUUGACCUCGGAUCAGGUAGGAAUACCCGCUGAACUUAAGCAUAUCAAUAAGGAGGA